CUACGGGCCGCAGCAGUCAAGAAUCUUUCGCAAUGGCCGAAAGGCUGACGGAGCAAUACCGCGUGAAGGAAGACACUCUUCGGAGCGUAAACUUCUUUUCUUAGGGAAGAAUUUGUGACGUUACCUAAGGAAUAAGCCACUGCUAACUUCGUGCCAGCAGCAGCGGUAAUACGAAGGUGGCAAGCGUUAUCCGGAAUCAUUGGGCGUAAAGCGUCUGUAGGCGGCUUGUUAAGUCUCAAAUUAAAACUCUAGGCUCAACCUAGAGGUAGUUUGAGAAACUAAUAAGCUAGAGACUGGGAGAGGCAAACGGAAUGGCUGGUGUAGUAGUAAUAUGCAUUGAUAUCAGCUAGAACACCAAAAGCGAAGGCAGUUUGCUAGAACAGAUCUGACGCUGAGAGACGAAAGCGUGGGUAGCGAAUGGGAUUAGAUACCCCCGUAGUC
RNAcentral lists this ribosomal RNA (441 nucleotides) under uncultured bacterium. Its description in RNAcentral is "partial 16S ribosomal RNA". It matches the Rfam family "Bacterial small subunit ribosomal RNA", at positions 339 to 795 of the family's 1533-position model. The record is from RNAcentral.